GACGAACGCUGGCGGCGUGCUUAACACAUGCAAGUCGAACGGAAAGGCCCUGCUUUUGUGGGGUGCUCGAGUGGCGAACGGGUGAGUAACACGUGAGUAACUUGCCCUUGACUUUGGGAUAACUUCAGGAAACUGGGGCUAAUACCGGAUAGGAGCUCCUGCUGCAUGGUGGGGGUUGGAAAGUUUCGGCGGUUGGGGAUGGACUCGCGGCUUAUCAGCUUGUUGGUGGGGUAGUGGCUUACCAAGGCUUUGACGGGUAGCCGGCCUGAGAGGGUGACCGGCCACAUUGGGACUGAGAUACGGCCCAGACUCCUACGGGAGGCAGCAGUGGGGAAUAUUGCACAAUGGGCGGAAGCCUGAUGCAGCAACGCCGCGUGCGGAAUGACGGCCUUCGGGUUGUAAACCGCUUUCGCCUGUGACGAAGCGUGAGUGACGGUAAUGGGUAAAGAAGCACCGGCUAACUACGUG
RNAcentral lists this ribosomal RNA (468 nucleotides) under uncultured bacterium. RNAcentral's name for it is "partial 16S ribosomal RNA". It matches the Rfam family "Bacterial small subunit ribosomal RNA", at positions 28 to 507 of the family's 1533-position model. The record is from RNAcentral.